RNAcentral lists this ribosomal RNA (447 nucleotides) under uncultured bacterium. RNAcentral's name for it is "bacterial SSU rRNA". It matches the Rfam family "Bacterial small subunit ribosomal RNA", at positions 355 to 825 of the family's 1533-position model. The record is from RNAcentral.
UCGGGAAUUUUGGGCAAUGGGCGAAAGCCUGACCCAGCAACGCCGCGUGAAGGAUGAAGUAUUUCGGUAUGUAAACUUCGAAAGAAUAGGAAGAAUAAAUGACGGUACUAUUUAUAAGGUCCGGCUAACUACGUGCCAGCAGCCGCGGUAAUACGUAGGGACCAAGCGUUGUUCGGAUUUACUGGGCGUAAAGGGUGCGUAGGCGGCAUAUCAAGUCACUUGUGAAAUCUCCGGGCUUAACUCGGAACUGCCAAGUGAUACUGAUGUGCUAGAGUGCAGAAAGGGCAACUGGAAUUCUUGGUGUAGCGGUGAAAUGCGUAGAUAUCAAGAGGAACACCUGAGGUGAAGACGGGUUGCUGGGCUGACACUGACGCUGAGGCGCGAAAGCCAGGGGAGCAAACGGGAUUAGAUACCCUUGUAGUCCCUGAGCGGGCUGGCAAGGCGCAU